AGGCUUUUGACUAGUCAGCUCUCCUGAAAUGUAUUAGCAGUGCCUUUGUUGGUUCAUUAGGUGUGAUAAUUUAUCUACAUCUUCACAUGGUACCUUCAUUUGUAAAGGUCAUACUGCUUCUAAUUGUCUUUGGACAAAGAAAACAUAUAAUGUGUGACAAACUUGAUCUCAAAUCAGGCAGGACUACCCGCUGAACUUAA
Molecule: unclassified non-coding RNA, 200 nt
Filed under: soil metagenome
Description: partial contains internal transcribed spacer 2 and large subunit ribosomal RNA
Source: RNAcentral